This 1037-nucleotide long non-coding RNA is filed under the name Amborella trichopoda. RNAcentral's name for it is "long non-coding RNA (ATRI_LNC002196)". The record is from RNAcentral. Lineage: Eukaryota; Viridiplantae; Streptophyta; Magnoliopsida; Amborellales; Amborellaceae.
CGUCCUUUAUAAAACUUCACUCACGGUACCUCUUUGCAAUCUACACCACUGUGACCUCCAAUCAAUGAAGAAAUAAGGAGUACCAAAAUGGACAUGGAGAGAGAGGGGGCUUUGGGGGGCUACGUAGGAGGCAGCGGAGGCUUGGUAGGGAGGAAGCAGUAUGAAGGAGGGCAGGGGGAUGAUCCGUAAUGUGGCAAAGUGUUAGACCCAGCCCCAAGAGGCAAGUGUGCACCUUUGUUGGAUAGGGAGGCCGGAUAGCAUUUGGAAUUCUUCAAGUCUGCAGGAAUAACAAACUGUAAUGGCCUGAUAACAUAGAAGAUUUCAUCAAAGACAAGCUCAAGUCGGCAUUAGCAUGGGGAAAAUGUGAGGCCCAUCUUAUAACAUUUUGGGAGUCACCUUCCACAAGGAGAUCAGACCCAAUUUGAGCUCCGCACUCCCAGCAGGGCAAGGCCUCAGUCAUCAUCGAGUUAGCCACCCCAACAGACAUUGAGAAAGACCACCUUAGCUGAGACAAACAACCUUGGAGGAAGGCCCCAACACCUGUCAAACGAGCAUUACGGAGGGAACAACCAUUGAAGAUGAGUUUUAUGACUCCAUUGAGUGGGGAAUGCCAAAGGCUAGCUUUUGAUGACAAUCGUUCUUGACCGAUUGAUCACUCUCCAAUUUAGUUACAGUUCCCUAGAAAACGAGGCUGAGAACUCCUUAGUUUGGGCCCGAAAGAUGACCAUGGUAGGUUUUGUGACCUUUAAAGCUCUAGAGAGCUUGUAAAAACGAUAUAUAUAAUGGAAUAAGCACUUCAAUGGGAAUGUGUAUUGAAUGACCAUGGGUUGGGCGGUUUAUAGCCCUGGUCAUGUCUAAAACCCUUGGCCCUAGGCAUGUGGCAUUAAAUGGAGAAGAGUUUGAAGUGAGUCACCCCUUGUUGAGGUUGGAGAAAUGCCUAAGGAUUAUGUCUAUAGACUAGGAGAACUGUGUGGUCUCCUGUGUACGGUAGUAGGCCUGUGAGAAAUAGUGGUCACGCCACUUUUUAAGGAAAAUAA